GGGCUCUAACCUUUCACUGUUAGCAUAACAUUAGCAUUCCGGACAUUGAUAAAUAUUUGCUACAGCAUUUUAAAUACUGUAUGUGGCCGUUAUGCUCAUAUGCAGACAUUCAUUUUACAUUCUGUUGUCAUAUUUAAUAAGUAGCAUUGCCUUCAUGGUCUUUUCAAUUGCCUAUAAGCAAGGUAUUGGACCAUUUUAAUGUAUCUGUUUUGCCACACCUAUUAUACAUGAGAAUUUUUUUCUUUUUUUGCUUUUACACUUAAAUAUCUGACGUCUACAAACAUAAGCACCAUUGUUACUGAACAUGCAUAUGUGUGAUGUCAUACCAUACAGCAAGCUAAAUAUACCUCUCAAGUGGUAGAGUAUUUUCAAAGUACAGUAAAAAGGUAAAUUUUAAAAGAUGCUGGAAAAUAA
This is a non-coding RNA of Pelobates cultripes (western spadefoot toad), 414 nucleotides long. The record is from the annotation of a GenBank genome assembly. Lineage: Eukaryota; Metazoa; Chordata; Amphibia; Anura; Pelobatidae.